AACAUGUYUUAAAGAAAUUAAUUUUAAGUYUAAUYUGCUCCAUGAUUAAAUUAAAUAGCUGCAGAAUUUUAACUGUACAAAGGUAGCAUAAUCAAUAGUUUUUUAAUUAAAAGCUGGAAUGAACGAUUUAAUAAGGUAAAUAUUGUCUCAUUUUUAAUAAAAAUAUAAUUUUUUUUUUAGUUAAAAAACUAAAUUAAUUUUAAAAGACGAGAAGACCCUAUAGAUUUUUAUAUUUAAAUUUAAAAUAAAUUUAAAUUAUUUUAUAAAAUUUUUAUUAUAAGUAUUAAGUUGGGGUAAUUAUUAAAUUAAAAUAAUUUUAAUAAAAUUUAAACUUAAAUUAAAGAAAUUUUGAUCUUAAAUUUUAAAUUAAAAGAAUAAAUUACCUUAGGGAUAACAGCGUAAUUUUUUUGGAGAGAUCUAAUUGAUAAAAAAGUUUGCGACCUCGAUGUUGAAUUAAGAAAAAAUAUUAAUGGAGAAGUUAAUAAUUUUUAGUCUGUUCGACUAUUAAAAUCUUACGUGAUC
RNAcentral lists this ribosomal RNA (522 nucleotides) under Rhinium sp. 2 BFS-2018. RNAcentral describes it as "partial 16S large subunit ribosomal RNA". The stretch from base 390 to 522 matches the Rfam family "Archaeal large subunit ribosomal RNA", at positions 2544 to 2676 of the family's 2987-position model. Lineage: Eukaryota; Metazoa; Arthropoda; Insecta; Hymenoptera; Ichneumonidae. The record is from RNAcentral.